UACGUAGGGUGCAGGCGUUAAUCGGAAUUACUGGGCGUAAAGCGUGCGCCGGCGGUUUGCUAAGACAGGUGUGAAAUCCCCGGGCUUAACCUGGGAACUGCGCUUGUAACUGGCAAGCUAGAGUGUGGCAGAGGGGGGUGGAAUUCCAGGUGUAGCAGUGAAAUGCGUAGAGAUCUGGAGGAACACCGAUGGCGAAGGCAGCCCCCUGGGCUAACACUGACGCUCAUGCACGAAAGCGUGGGGAGCAAACAGG
Molecule: ribosomal RNA, 253 nt
Filed under: uncultured bacterium
Lineage: Bacteria
Description: partial 16S ribosomal RNA
Rfam family: Bacterial small subunit ribosomal RNA
Source: RNAcentral